UUAGUAUACGAGUCAUCACUCCUUAUGCUAAACCCAAGGACCCAUGAAUAUAAAUUGUAGAACUGGUAACCUUCGCUUGCUGAGCCAAAUAUCAUGCCUACUUCAGGCUUGAACAAAGUUACUGUUUUGUCUUUACUGUAUGCUCUUAUAGACUGCUCUAUUAAAUUUGGUAUUCUCUUCUCCCCGAAAAGAGUAGUUAUACCAUCUGGCCGCAUUUUUCUAAGGAUUUGCAAGGUGUGAUUUAAUAAUAAGUGGAAAACAGGAAUUAGCAUCAAGGACUUUAUGUUGAUCAACAAACCUGUAGCAGUGUGAUUUGCUUGAAGCAUCAUCGUCAUCGUUCUCUACAGCCAUUGAAGAAAAACUACGUAU
RNAcentral lists this long non-coding RNA (369 nucleotides) under Triticum aestivum (bread wheat). Its description in RNAcentral is "long non-coding RNA (TAES_LNC027989)". Lineage: Eukaryota; Viridiplantae; Streptophyta; Magnoliopsida; Poales; Poaceae. The record is from RNAcentral.